Long non-coding RNA from Harpia harpyja (harpy eagle), 2959 nucleotides. RefSeq lists it as uncharacterized. The record is from RefSeq and is a predicted model, not a curated record. The transcript is spliced from 2 exons. NCBI's taxonomy places the organism in Eukaryota, Metazoa, Chordata, Aves, Accipitriformes, Accipitridae.
CAAUCAGCGUCUUGCAUUCAGGGACAGCGUGUGAUCGGCAGCUCUGUGUCUGUGACUUAACCCUGCUGCAAGACUUGGAAACGGCAGCUUGUAAUUAAAACAUAUAGGCGCAUAUUUCUGGCUAAUUUGAACAGAGUUGUGUUUUUUUCCCACUGAUAAAAGCAGAUCCUGUUUAUACUGGUUUCCUCCCAGUGACCCUACUCUCCUGCCUCCAUACAUUGCAAUGGGGACUGACCCCAGUGUUGAACAGGGGCUCUCCCUCUGCUCCUUUCUACUGUACACAGGAAAUAUUUCCUUGGAGUGUGUUUAUCCAUGAUUUUUCAACUUUUCUUUCUUAAAAAAAAUGAUUUUAAAGGGCAGUCCAAGUGGACAGUGAGGUGAUUUAACUGUUGCUCUGUCAGAGCACGGGAGAUCUGUUGAUUCACUGAAUAUGAGAGUGGACAAAAAAAUAUAAUAGUGUAUUUAUUCCCUUAUUUUCCUUGACAGUCAUUGCAGGAAAUGGCACAUUUCUCAUCUUCCUUAUAUCUUUCAUGCACUUUUCUCUUCCUUAAUGUUUCACUCUCCUUCCUAGACCUGGGUUUUUGACCCUGCUGGGAACAUGCAAUGUAGAGCAACUGGGAAAUACAAGCAAACAGAAACAAGUACUGUACAAGGAAUAUGUUCAAAAGGACGGUUUUCUUAAAAAAACCCACCCAACAAACCCUUUAAAUUUUUUUUAAUGUGAACUGAAAAAAAAAAAAAAGAAAAGCCCAAACACCCAACACUUGAGGUCAAAUUACUCAUUUUCCUUAUGUUUUGAUGAAAACAUGUCAACCUCCAAAAUGAAGUAUCGCUUCUUACUGGGAUGCUAAACUCAGCAUGGGAUGAUCUCAACCCAUGGAACUUUGUAGCUGUAUCUUUGCAGCUACACAGAUUGCUGUCUAGAUAAAUAUAUCCCAUCUAAUCUACCCAGUGACAUACAGAGAUAAAGAAAACAUGUGCCUUUCUCCAAAGUUAAGGCUGGACUGAGCUUCUCAUGCACAGCAGGAUUUUAACCACCUUUUUGGUCACAAAAGAAAGGUUUUUCCCAAAUGAUGUGGUAGGAAAUGUCAUUAGGGUGAAGACUGCAUCCGCCUUACAUCUCGCCCUCCCUGGGUGAGCUCUCCUCCUCUCCCGACCUCUCCAAAGACAACUUGCCCACGUUGCUGAGAGGCUUGAGCUGGCCUGGACUGCAGGGUUCGAAUGGGACGCAGGGAUGGGAUAGCUGAGCUGAAGGUGCACUUUUUGGGGGGGGGGAGGCUGGGGGUUGCCACCUCGUGGGCUGCUCAGGGCUGAUGGACUUGCCCCAACCAUGCAUAAAUUCUUUGGGGUUGCACUGAUGCCUUUCGUCUCCCAACCAGGGCAGGGAAGAGAGCACGUCCCAUGCUGUCACUGCAGCUCAGCUAAUGAACAUCAACUCAUUAAGAUCCAGUUACCUCGUUGCUUUCCAUCUGUCUCCUUGUUUCAGUCUAAACCAGGGCUAUUACAGUUAAUUUAAACCAAUGAAGAACAGGUUUAUACUAAUGCUCGUAAACCCAAAUGGAAGUGUUCGAGUAGGUCUGCAUGGAGGAACUGAAGGGCUUGAAGUAAACACAGACGGAGAUCUGCGAGCCCCUGGACCUUGCCAAUCUCUUGGGUUUGAGCUGGAAGGAGGUACAGCGCCUUCCCCUCUUGACGCAUUACAUCUCUUUCCUCCCUUUUUUAAAAGUUUUUUUACCAGUUUGGGCAGAGUUUAUCCUAGGACUUGGGUAGUGCCAUAUAGCACUGUGAACAGGGCUUUUUAAAUUAAAAGAAAGACACGUACACCUGAUGAACAGUGUUUGUCACGCUGUAAUUGCAUGUUACGCCUGAGUCUUGAAAAGGAAAGGCAUUUUUUUUUUCAGUGCAAAAGGCCACAGCUUAAAGGAUUUUGAUCAACGUUUGCAUGUACUCCAGAUUUACGCGAGGUACACCAAGGAGAGCGGUGCCCUGGGUACACCCUUGCUCUGCAAAGGAAAAUUAGCCGCGGUGGAGCUGCCUGCAGCAUCUCCUGGGUCCAGAGCUGGGAGAGAUGGAUCCUGCUUGCAUUCAGUGCAGAACAGAGCUGAAAUGAUGAUAUUUAAGUGAUUGUAAAGGUGGGCUUGCCUUGCCUUGGGAAGGACAUCACAAAAUCCUCUAGGAAGCCGGGAUCGGCCUUUGCUACAUGUGCCUCUAAGGCCAUGUCCAGCUGGAGUGCAAUGGAAGUGCUGUUACAGAGCCUGGCUGUGAUUAACAGUGAAGAGUCUCAGGAGCAGAAAUUCCUUUGGCUUCCUGGGCACAAGAGCUGACACAGCAAGUGGAGGGAAGAGAGGCUGAAGCUAACAGGAGCCCCUCCGAACUCAAAACGAGAGGUGGCAUAAAACGAGGUGGCAAAGCAUCUUUCAAGCCAUCAGCAAUCAGUGCCCAUGGACAUGCAUGGGCUACAGGCAUUUCAGAAGGAGCAAGCCUCCACCCCAAAUCUCAGACACAGCCUAAGACAGUGGAUGGGAGCCAAGGAAAGAUGCCAGGUUUUUUGUGUUCAAGGAGAAGAGUUCUGAGUGCCAUGCUGAUAUCUGGGCAGCCAAGGCAGGUGGGAUGGGUAGAUAGAACAAGCAGAUAAGUGUGGCUUAUAGGGCUGGUUGGACGUGUUUGUUAUUUCAGUGGGAAUGUUGAUGUGUUCAAAAUGAAGCAUUCCUCAGGGAUGUUCUUUUUUUGUUUUUUGCUCUGUUAAGAGCCGUAUAAUAAAAUACUUCAAUACCAAGAAGAACAUUUUAGAUCCGCAUUUCAAACCACUUUUUUUCAGGGGGGAAUGAGCAAAACAUAAGGCCAAUUACUUCAGAAAUUACUAACAGAAUUAGCAAUUAGCAGAUCAAUUGCUAAUGAUGAUGUAAGAAGAGCAGUCACUGAUGUAUAGAAUAAAAUAAAUAACAGCAUAAAAGAUAAA